Non-coding RNA from Clostridiales bacterium 42_27, 140 nucleotides. NCBI's taxonomy places the organism in Bacteria, Bacillati, Bacillota, Clostridia, Eubacteriales. The record is from Rfam.
UAAAAUAAUGAUGCUGUUUUUGAGACAGCAGGUGCUGGAGUCCAGCGUAAGGUGCAAACCGCCUGCCGAGAAACGCGCGUAAAGUUGUUUUAUGCCUCUUUCUCGACACAGUGCGGGAAAGAGGCUUUUUUCGUUGCUCC